Long non-coding RNA from Rhea pennata, 751 nucleotides. RefSeq lists it as uncharacterized. NCBI's taxonomy places the organism in Eukaryota, Metazoa, Chordata, Aves, Rheiformes, Rheidae. The record is from RefSeq and is a predicted model, not a curated record. The transcript is spliced from 3 exons.
UGGCUUGAUGAUAGGUGCUGCCAGCUGGUUAAGUUUGAGGUGGGGUGUGUGUGGAUUUUAGGUUGACUGAACCAGCAUAACUGUUUCUGCGGACAUUGCUUUUCUAGGUAUCGUCUGUAUUUGUCCAACGCUUUGGUAAGGCACCUGGAGAAGGGGAGCCUGACUUGAGAAUACUUUGAACAUGCAGGAGAUAUCAAAGGGGCUGAUGUCAAAGUAACUCCUACUUGAAUGCUGGCACAAUUUGGAAUAUCUGACUUCUGGAUUCCUCUUUAUUCAAAUACAGAGUAUUCCUGAGACAGAACUAACGCGGGAGCAUCCUCGUGAAGGACAAGUCUCUCUUCCCUGCUUCUUCCACCAGAUGCCAGUAGCAGCUCAGCUAAAAUCCUCCCGCCGCCGCCGCGCAGGCCUCGCAGCCGGCUCCGCUGCCGCCCCGUCAGGCAUGCCUCAGCUACCUGCAGCAGAAGAGCAUGCCUCCGACGCGCAGCCAGCUGGCGCUUGUGCGGGCCGGUCAGCUCGCCCGCAGCCUGCCUUGUGCGCAGGCUUCCAGGAGGAUGACGAGCAGGAGAAUAGCUUGCCCUUGUUCAACCCAAGGAGUGAAUCUCUUGCAUCCUGCCUGAAGAAAUGUGCAUUAGUUUUCCUGAGGGUUGGGAGCCUUGCAGCUGGGAUAAAUAAAAUUAUUGUAAAUAAGAACGAGUCAGUGGGUAGGAGAAUCUUUUGUUAAUUUUGCUCCAAAUAAACAAAUGUUUCUGAA